This 134-nucleotide small nucleolar RNA is filed under the name Catagonus wagneri (Chacoan peccary). Its description in RNAcentral is "Small nucleolar RNA SNORA31 (ENSCWAG00000001343.1)". It matches the Rfam family "Small nucleolar RNA SNORA31". Rfam says of the family: ACA31 (SNORA31) belongs to the H/ACA class of snoRNAs which are thought to guide the sites of modification of uridines to pseudouridines. ACA31 is predicted to guide the pseudouridylation of U3713 in 28S rRNA and U218 in 18S rRNA. This family includes the mouse homologue snoMBI-161. Lineage: Eukaryota; Metazoa; Chordata; Mammalia; Artiodactyla; Tayassuidae. The record is from Rfam by way of RNAcentral.
ACGCAUCUAUUUGACAGGCCUGGAGCAGUUACUGUCUGCUAUUCAGGUUUCCACUACAGAUGCAAGAAGAUGAUAUCCUCGCGCUUUCUGUCUGUCUGAUCGUGGCAGCCCAGAUUGAAUGGAGGAAUACAGGG